CUUAUACUCCCUCCGUCCGAAAAUAGUUGUCAUCAAAAUGGAUGAAAAGGGAUGUAUCUAGAACUAAAAUACGUCUAGAUACAUCUCCUUUAAUCCAUUUUGAUGACAAGUAUUUCCGGACGGAGGGAGUUUUUA
This is a non-coding RNA of Triticum urartu, 135 nucleotides long. Lineage: Eukaryota; Viridiplantae; Streptophyta; Magnoliopsida; Poales; Poaceae. The record is from Rfam.